UGCUUAUUUUCUAAAUAUAGAUUCAAUAUUAAAUAUAUGUAAAAAGUAUUCAAUAUAAAGGUGUGUGUAACAUUAGUUGCCACGAUGAUGGAUUCAUUUAUGAAUUGGCAUAUGUUUUCUAAUGAAGACAACCUUGUUGGAAAUGACCGUUUGUAUAACAAGUUUUUAGACAUAUACGUGUUACAUCCACGAACACACAUUAAGGAUGGCAGAGCUCUUUACACAGAUUAUGAAGUUCAUGUAAAGACCAACCAUCCUGAAUUUGCAAUUAAAGAGUCACAAGUCAGACGUCGAUAUUCAGAAUUUGUUUGGUUGAAAAAUCGUCUGGGUAUAAAUGAUGUGAUGAUGUCGACUGCACCUUCUUUACCAGGAAAGAGAUACUUUGGUAGAUUCAAGGAUCCAUUUUUGUUACAGAGACAGUUUGGUCUUCAAAGUUUCAUGAACAAUGUUGUGGAAGUAAACCCGUUUUUGUCAGAUCCUGCACUUCAUUUAUUUCUCCAAACUGAUUUACCAGUUGAACAAAUGGAACGACGUCUCGAACACUGCCCAUUGUUGAGCAAUAUUAGAGACAAAAUUAUAAUGUUGCAGAAGGAUAGAGAACAAAAAGCAAAGGAAAAGGAAACUCAAGCAACCCAGGAAUAUGAACAUAGUUACACGAAAACGUUAAAUUUAAAGAAAACCCUUAGCUCUGAUUGCAUUUAUUCCAUGAAGAAGAAGAAUAUGUCUUCCUGCGAAGAGCAUGGUGGUAAGGGCUGGUCUCAAUACUUAGGGGAUGAUUUUCGUCCAUCCAUAGUUAAAACUGACCGAGACGUUACAGAUUUUUCUUCAGGAGCCUCAAACUUUAACACAAGAAUGACUGCUACUGCUCAUGUUCUCCCAGGUGGCCAACUCUGCCUACCUGACGACAAUGUUGAUAUGCCCUUGCCCAGCCCUACAUUAGUCCAUCGACGCUCUGUUAGUUGGCAUGGAAACGAGAGUGAUGUGAUAGAUUUAUUAUUAGACAGUUACGAUAUUCUUCCAAAGUUACCAGCAGAAGCAUAUGUUGAUGAUUCCAUGAGUUUCUCCCAAACCUCUAAGGUAGAGAGCAGUGUGAGUGGGACUUACCAGGAUGACAGCAGUGAUGACGGAAUAGAAAUAGACAUUUCAAAACGAUUGUCAGAGUACACAAUUGUACCACUCCCACCCACAAAUAAUUUUUCACGCGAAACAACAAGCGGUUUCCAUCACAGUUUUAGCGGGAGUUACGAUGAAAGGUGAAAUGAUUCAAAUUUAUAUACAGUAGUUUUAUAAUAGUUUAUAUUUUAAAGUUUUAUAUAUAUGAGAAAUUUAUAAAAAAAAAAUGAUUCAUAGAAAUUGUAUAGUCAGAUCACUGUGUUUAAAUUUGUCCAUGUUCUCUGUAAAAUUUCAUUAUUGUUGAAAAUAUUCAGAAAAUCUUUCUUAAUCCGAUGAAAGCAACAUCUUUUAGCUUAGUUAGCAGAUUGAUGUCUUUUUUCUACUACGUAACUCAAGAAUUACUUGGCAUUGCAUUAAGUGAAUAUAGUCGGCAUGUGUUUAUGUUUUAUGUUUGUAUGUUUUUGUUAAUUUAUUAAAAUAGGUAGAGACAUUCUUAAUAGCUAGUUAGACGGACAGAAAGACCAUUUACUUUAGCACUAUUUUUCAUCCAUUAAAUUUCAUGUCACUUACAUCCUUUUUAAAUGUUGGAAUUUGUAAACAAUCAAAGUAUUCUCAGCUUAUCUUAAAACCUUAAGAAAACAUUACUAACCUAAUUUUGCAAACUAAUUUAUUUUGUAACAUUUUAUAUGAUACCAUCUUAUUUUUUAUAUGCAUUAAUGUUUUUGUAUGUAACAAGUUUGUGAAAUAUCUUUUGAUGUUUUCGUUAUGGCCAGUUAACUGCAUUAUUUUCACGUUAGAUUCUAACUUUCCCUUUUUUAUUCAAGUUGUGUUAACUGAUAAACUUUAAAAUGCUUUUAAUUUAUUCCAACUCUGUUUGAAAUUUGAAGUUUUUUUAUUUUAAACCACGGUAAAGGUUUAUUACAGGUUACCAAGAAAAGACGCUUUGUUAUUUCUUAUGUCAAGAAACCCCCUUUUUCGAAUGUACUUCUACUCUCCCUUAUCCAAUUCAGCAAAAAUCAAACACCAAACGCAUGUAAAUAAAAACUUCUUUGGAGCAGUUUUAGUCUUCUAAUAUUUCCACUAGUGUUAACUGCAUUUUUUCGUUUAAAGUUUUUGCUUUAUAAGUUAUAUAAGUUUUUUUAGAAAAAAUGACUAGGUUUUUAGUCAAGUCAAUAUUGUCUUGUUGUUUGGCUAUCACAAACGUCUUGAUUCUGUCAUUCUACUAAUUGCAUUGAAACCGGGUUAUGCAGAUUGUAUAUUUUAACCAUUAAACGCAGUCUUAAAGUCCUGUGCCAGCUUGGUAUCAGAAGUUUUUCUUGUUGGGUAUUGCUGUAUCUUUAGGUUUACCUUAUUAUGAAGUUUCAUUUUUCUAUCAGUUUUCCUUUUUCACAGAAAGUUGUAUAUAUUUUAAAAACAAUGUCUUCCUUAAACCAUGGUUUGGUUGAUGGAAAAGAAUACCCAAUGAAGAUUGGUUCAAGUUUCCAAGCUGCCAGGAGACCUACAGAAUCAUAUCACACAAUAAGAUAUGAUUUCAAGCCAGCAUCUAUUGACACAAAUCGUCCAGUGGAAUUUCGAAUUGGUUCAAAUAAUGAAUGUACUGUUGAUAUUCCAAACAAGGAUUCUGGUACAAUGACAUAUAAAGGUGGAAAGAAACCGUGCACAAAAGAAUGCAUUCUAAUUAUAGAUAAAGACACUGGGG
Molecule: RNA transcript, 2812 nt
Organism: Hydractinia symbiolongicarpus
Lineage: Eukaryota; Metazoa; Cnidaria; Hydrozoa; Anthoathecata; Hydractiniidae
Gene name: ELL-associated factor 1-like
Exons: 8
Source: RefSeq, a predicted model, not a curated record